GCGUCUGUAGCCUAGUUGGUAAAGGCAGCACUCUAGUAUGUGUCUCAGCAUAGCUGAGGUCGUGAGUUCGACUCUCACCAGAUACA
This 86-nucleotide transfer RNA is filed under the name Puccinia triticina 1-1 BBBD Race 1. Its description in RNAcentral is "Puccinia triticina tRNA PTTG_20484". It matches the Rfam family "tRNA". From Rfam's summary of the family: Transfer RNA (tRNA) molecules are approximately 80 nucleotides in length. The record is from Rfam by way of RNAcentral. Lineage: Eukaryota; Fungi; Basidiomycota; Pucciniomycetes; Pucciniales; Pucciniaceae.